Molecule: long non-coding RNA, 1704 nt
Organism: Haliotis rubra (blacklip abalone)
Lineage: Eukaryota; Metazoa; Mollusca; Gastropoda; Lepetellida; Haliotidae
Exons: 2
Source: RefSeq, a predicted model, not a curated record
CACCACCCCCUAUCCCUCAAAUAUGCCCCAUAUUUACAUCUCAUUUUUUGUUAACUCUAUCUCUCAUUUAUUAACAACCACUGCUGUUUUUUUCCUCAUUUCUUUCCCUUUUAUAACUUCGGUUUUUAUUUUAUUUUUAUCUUAUUUCUAAACGUUUCUAUUCUAAAUUACUCUAGGUUAAAGCCCCUACAUUUACAAUUUUUGGGGCAGGUGCUUUACUCGUUAUUACCAGCUAUUUAUAAUUUAAUGUUAAAACCAACCUGCCCCGUCGGCGAAACUGGCGCCCGCCAGAAGCCGACGCUAAACCACUUAAUUCAUUCAUUUGUCUAAAUCUAUCAAUUUGUCAAAAAGAUUAGUCUGAAAGGUGUUAAAGUAGGGUCGGUAAGGUCCAGUGUGGUUAAAUCAGUGUAGUCAGUAGUUACAUUGAAUUGCUGUAACUGACGUAAUACAGCACGGCCAUGUAAAGUCGGGUCGGUGAGAUCCAGUGUGUGUAUAUCAGUGUACACGCAGUCACUGUAAUCACGGUACUAUAUAUAUAGAAAUGACGCUUAUAGAUUACAAUCUUCAUUUCCUGGAAGAGAAACCGAAAGUAGCCGCCCUGUUUCGUUUCAAGCCCAUCAGUAUAAUCACGUUACGCCGUCACUGUCCCCGCAGUGCCCGACAUGAAGCCAUCGAGACAAGAUACAGGGCACUUCGUCAAAUGAAUGACGUUAGCACAUGCUGCGACAUCUAACGUUCAUGACUACCCAGUGUGUGUGUUUACAUUAACGAGCGGUUGGUCCAAUGACUGUGUCGAUACCUGCUACCAUAAUGGACGGGUACCUGCGAGAUGAUGAAAUACUCAGUGUAUUCUGGAUCACAGGCCUUCCAACAUGUGACAGGCCAAGGCUUGGGGUUGCUGUGUGUACACUUUGGAAUAAACCAUAGGCAGUCUUCUACUCUGAAAGAAAACCAGACAACUCCUGUAUUCAUGCUGAGUUGAAUCUGAUUCGGACCUUGGAGUUCCUGUUUACCGAAACGAAUCUAUGUAAUACCGGUAUGGGGCACAGGUUGAACAUUAAGGUUUUCCAGAAUUACAGCCCAUGUUGGCAUUGUGCCAAAGGGUACUGUCGUAUUCUAAAAGACCUCAGAAAACGCCACUUCAAUGUGUCUGUAAGUAUUCAUUUUGUCUCUUUGUUCAAAAUCUGCUGGGACGAAGCUGAUUUCGAAAGUUCACCGAGCUACUUGGACCGAGCAACUCAUGACCAAAACGUCCAGGGAUUACGGAACCUGAGGAACCAGGAUGUGAUCCUGAGAACAUUCACACACCAAACAUGGACAGACCUGCGCUUAGUGCUCGGCAUCCUUGGGCCAUACAUACAUCCGGGAUAUCUGAUGGGAGUUUCAGGGAUUCCCGUAAAUCCCCGGAGACGUGAAUCAGCUGAUAAGAAUACAAGGGAUAACCUUCGAAGAAUAUUAAGUAGGCCUAGUGUUUGAAUGGACUUUAGAACUGAUACGUAGUAGUGUUUCCCCCAGGAUCUCAAAAGGGCAGGCAGAUGUGAUUUCAAAAGGGGCACCCCUAUUCCAAAAAGGGGCUUGCAAUGAUCGAUUAGAUAUAUUGCGUCAAGCUAUUCAUGUAUAUGGUUCUUAAAGGUUCAAAGAGCACAGCACAGUUAUUACACUGAACUUCAAUAUGAAAUAGAAAAUAAAGAGAACCAAGUGUUA